AACGCACAUUGCGCCCCCUGGUAUUCCGGGGGGCAUGCCUGUUCGAGCGUCAUUACACCACUCAAGCCUCGCUUGGUAUUGGGCGCCGGGGACCCCCCGCGCCUCAAUUUUGUCGGCUGGCGAAUCUGAAUCUCAGCGUUGUGGCAAGCAAAUCCGCUGGCGAGACAGGCUCUCCGCGCCGUAAAACCCCCGUCAAAGGUUGACCUCGGAUCAGGUAGGGAUACCCGCUGAACUUAA
This 237-nucleotide unclassified non-coding RNA is filed under the name Inocybe sp. Its description in RNAcentral is "partial contains 5.8S ribosomal RNA, internal transcribed spacer 2, and large subunit ribosomal RNA". The stretch from base 1 to 52 matches the Rfam family "5.8S ribosomal RNA", at positions 103 to 154 of the family's 154-position model. The record is from RNAcentral. Lineage: Eukaryota; Fungi; Basidiomycota; Agaricomycetes; Agaricales; Inocybaceae.